Molecule: long non-coding RNA, 763 nt
Organism: Pelodiscus sinensis (Chinese soft-shelled turtle)
Lineage: Eukaryota; Metazoa; Chordata; Testudines; Trionychidae
Source: RefSeq, a predicted model, not a curated record
CGAGGAGAGCGCGAGGGCUCCACGACGGGGGAAGAGACCCGGACGUGCUCACGGCAGUCUCCGCCGAACGAGACGCGAAGGCCAAAUCUCUGAAGGAAAAAUAAGGCGUCCCUUGAAAUCUUACAGGAAUUUAUAAAACCAUCAUUAUAACUACUGAAGAGAUGUGCAAGGACCCAAGAAAUAUUAGGGGAUGGCUUUAUAAGGCUGUGAAAUAGCUAUAUCAGUACAAGCUAUAUAAGAAAAGAACAAAAUAAAGGAGGUCAGCAGCAUCCAUGAAUGGUUUACUGGAAAUCACUUUAAAUGGCAACAUCAAUUCAGAGAGGAGAUUUGUAAUUUUCUUAUUCCCAGCCUCUGUGGAACUUUCCAUAGUGUCGAGAUUAAGUGAGACAUAUUUCUUCACUUUGAGCUGAAAGGGAGAAAGCUCCACCUUCAUGUCUUCUGUCACUGUAAUGUAAGUGCGUUGAAAGCCUUCUACAGAUACAUUACCUCAUGCUUGAAAUUAAAUGAAGCAAGGCAUCAAAUGACAUUCAUCAGUCUUUCUUAAAUAUUUGCCAUAUGUUCCAUUGAUGAGAAGAGUUCAUUUGCAACCCAAACAAAGAAACUGAAGCAUCACAACUGGAUGAUGAAUAUUAGCCAUAUGGUACAAUAAUUUAAAGAUAGACUAAUGAAUAGAGCAAAACAAAGGCUUCGUUACAAGUUCAGUACCUGACUUCAUUUCAGCUGAAAACUCAUGAUAGACCUGAAUAAUUAUUAUCAUUCAAAU